RNAcentral lists this ribosomal RNA (345 nucleotides) under Otostigmus astenus. Its description in RNAcentral is "partial 12S ribosomal RNA". Lineage: Eukaryota; Metazoa; Arthropoda; Chilopoda; Scolopendromorpha; Scolopendridae. The record is from RNAcentral.
UUGUUUGUAAAAUGGUAUUUUUAGUAUUAGUAGAGUUCUUUAAAUUAAAAGAGUUUGGCGGUACCUUCGUCAAAUUAGAGGAACCUGUAUUUUAAUCGAUAGCCCCCGAGUAUCUUACCUUAUUUAGUUGGCAGCUUGUAUACCGUUGUCUUCAGUUUGCAUUAGAAGAUGCUUUCUUUUUAUAUUUUAUUUAUAAAGUCAAAUCAAGGUAUAGCUUAUAAUAAGGUUAAUAUGGGUUACAAUUGGUGGAUCAAACACGAAUUUAAAGUUUUAAUAUUUUAUUGAAGGUGGAUUUAAAUGUAAGGUUCAUAAAUUUUGUGUAACUGAACUUGUAUUGAGGUAUGC